This 21-nucleotide non-coding RNA is filed under the name Manduca sexta (tobacco hornworm). Its record names the gene mse-miR-2b. Lineage: Eukaryota; Metazoa; Arthropoda; Insecta; Lepidoptera; Sphingidae. The record is from miRBase by way of RNAcentral. RNAcentral also lists the same sequence under 14 other names.
UCACAGCCAGCUUUGAUGAGC